UUUAGGAGGGAAAGACUGGCGGAAAGAGAAAUACACAAACCUCAGAAGGGAGCAGACAAUUCACACAUUUCUACAGUUUAACCUUCAGUGCCAAGAGAAACAGAAGUGGCUGGUUAUGAAAACCGGCAGCACAGCUUUUUCCCUCCCUGUGGUGUCUUCCCAGAUAAGAAAGCAGGCCUGAAUCCCGGGUGCUGUUCUUCCAGACCACAUGAAAGGAGCUCCUGUCUCCUCUGACUUCAGGUUGGACUGGCUAAUAGAAAGACCAAAAGGUGGCAGGAGAGCAGAGUUGAGCAUUCGUUCCCUGGCUCUCCCCCUGCCUCAGCACUGUGGCUCUGACAAUGACUGGAUCCCUCUACAACUUCGACUCUUAUCUAGAGCCUCCUUCCACAGUGAUUCUGCAUAUCUGUUACAUUCUAAGGCCACUUCACAACACUACCAAACCCAGCUUUACAGUUUGGAAGACUGAGAGAAUCAUACCCAAAGCCACAAACAUCCAAAUAUGGUGUUCUUCACAAGAAACUAAUAAUGAACUUGAGACAGAGUCUGCAGGGAUAGAUGAUGACUUGGGAUUCGGUGCUUACAGGAGACUGGCUCUUCACAUUCUUUGCAUCCACAGUUCCAAGGAGGCUUUAGAGCUCAAUACUUUCCAGCCAGUGACAUUUCUAAAUGCAUUUUCCAAAUGAAGUCAAUGCCCUCAGGCAGCCCAGUGGGGAGGUCAUGGAGAGCCAGUGAGAAGGAAGUCUGGGAGCUCAUGCCAAAAUAUUUGCUGGAUGGCACUAAUGACCACCACCACAACAGACUGCGUAGGAGAAAACACUGAGAAAUUGAAAUGGGAGAAUUCCCUGACACCCCUUGCUGAACGUGAGACAGGGAUGUGACUCAUCUGUUCAGUAACCACUGCUCCUCAAACCCCUUAUGUGAGGGGAGCAUGCAGACAGAAUGUAGACUGGUUUGCACAUCGGAAAAGACCUGGCUGUCUGAUCAGUUUGCUUUUCUUCCUUCUUUUCUACCCCUGCAGCCUAAGUGGUAAACCGGUCUGAGUAAGGAGGAGGAAAAGAAGGCCCUUGGAAAUUGCCAUUCUGGAAUUGAAAACUUAAAUCCUCCAGACAACCAUUAACUUUUAAAGGACAUCUAAAAGUGCAGCUCUGUGAUAACCAAGAAGAUGAUGGUGAUAGUUCUGCCUAUGACUGAAUACACAAAUCUCUUAAACCUCUACAGCUGCUCAACAAAACAAAGAAAUAAACAUUGCAUUUUGCAGAGAAUCC
This 1265-nucleotide long non-coding RNA is filed under the name Homo sapiens (human). RNAcentral's name for it is "HSALNT0310033". Lineage: Eukaryota; Metazoa; Chordata; Mammalia; Primates; Hominidae. The record is from RNAcentral.